Capsicum annuum is the source of this 1104-nucleotide long non-coding RNA. RefSeq lists it as uncharacterized. The transcript is spliced from 4 exons. Lineage: Eukaryota; Viridiplantae; Streptophyta; Magnoliopsida; Solanales; Solanaceae. The record is from RefSeq and is a predicted model, not a curated record.
UUUCCCCCUCCCAAAGUGCCGCUUCCAUUUUUGGGCAAACAACAAGCUUCACUAAGCAUGGCAGAAUAUGUUACUCCAUUUUCGUGUUGUGUCCGUAUCAAUCACGUGAACAGUUGAAUAGACCCAAAUUGAAGGACCAAUUCCCGCUCAAGAAAGUGAACCCUAGUUUUUCUCUAUAAAUACAAAGCUUUUGAUCCUCCGCCGCAUCUCUCCUCUCAGCAAAGCUUAUCACUUUUUUUUUGUUGUGAUCCCGAAAUCGAGUGUUUAAAACUCAGAAUCAUUCGUAUUCGAGAGUAGAAUUGUAACUGAAGGGCUUCAGUUUCAGUUCGCUGCUCUCCAAAAGUCCUGUAUCAACGUCGCUGUAGAUUUUAUUUCUCCUGAAAAGGUGACUGAGUGCAUCCGUUUGACCGAGGAGCUUCGCAAGCUUCCUCGAAAUCAUGAAGCUAGGGCAGACAAGUUAGUUGAUUGAUCGUUGUAUUGGUUCAAAGAUUUGGGUGAUAAUGAAUAGGUGAUAAGGUGCUUGUUGGUACACUUAGACGGUUUGAUGUUUAUGUUAACAUGGUUCUUGAAGAUGUUACUGAAUAGUGUCCGAGAGACUCUUCGAGUCCCGACUAAUCCCGGGGGUGCACAGACCCUCGGCAAGGAGUUUCCCGCAAGUGCACCACGGGUAAUUCAGGGUUUCACCCAGUCCGAUGGCCCUCAGAAAUUGUUUGCACCCAGUGGGAAUCAAACUUGAGACCUUGAAAGGGAGCACCCCAAAGCUCAAGCCAAUUACCACCAGGUCAACCCCUGAGGGUUCUUGGGCUCCUUACUGAUGAUUAGACAACCUUAAUAGAAGGGGCUUUCAGUUGGUCAAUGUAUCUUAUUUAUGCAAGAGAAAUCAGGAAUCAACCAGACGCGUAUGUCUGCAUUGCCCGGUGGCCUAUAUUUUAUCGAAUAUGUUCCUAUGUGUUUUUGACUUAAUUCAAUAGUGAGUUGGAAUCUCUAGGAAGUUGAUAAGACGAUCAAUAGCACUCUAGUUUCGAUAUGGAGUCUCAAUAUAUAGGGGCUAACAACUCUCUUUUGUAUUUUGUUUCCUUUUAAUUAUGGUCCUUGAUCAUGCAA